UACGUAUGGAGCAAGCGUUAUCCGGAUUUACUGGGCGUAAAGGGAGCGUAGGCGGCCUGCCAAGUCUGAUGUGAAAUACCGGGGCCCAACCCCGGGGCUGCAUUGGAAACUGGCAGGCUGGAGUGCCGGAGAGGCAGGCGGAAUUCCUAGUGUAGCGGUGAAAUGCGUAGAUAUUAGGAGGAACACCAGUGGCGAAGGCGAUUUGCUGGGCCAUUACUGACGCUCAUGCACGAAAGCGUGGGGAGCAAAUAGG
RNAcentral lists this ribosomal RNA (253 nucleotides) under uncultured Lachnospiraceae bacterium. RNAcentral describes it as "partial 16S ribosomal RNA". It matches the Rfam family "Bacterial small subunit ribosomal RNA", at positions 524 to 776 of the family's 1533-position model. Lineage: Bacteria; Bacillati; Bacillota; Clostridia; Lachnospirales; Lachnospiraceae. The record is from RNAcentral.